Molecule: long non-coding RNA, 1156 nt
Filed under: Salvia miltiorrhiza (redroot sage)
Lineage: Eukaryota; Viridiplantae; Streptophyta; Magnoliopsida; Lamiales; Lamiaceae
Description: long non-coding RNA (SMIL_LNC006387)
Source: RNAcentral
GAUCAAUAAUAGCUGGAUUCUACGAAUAUGAGGAUAGAACCCUACCACUAAAUUUGUUGGCAAUGGAAGCUAUCCAUGCUUUGUCUUUAUCAGUAAAUGCAUAGUCGAUUCCAGAAGCCAACAGGAUGAAACCCUUCCUCGUCCCUGUUUGACUGGAGCUUAAUUCACAAGCUUCUCGAAUAGGUUGGACAAGGAGAGACCUAGUCCCCACGGGAACCAUCUCCUUCAAUUCCGAAUCUGAAUUAUUUACGCAUUUCACCAAUGCAACUAAUGAGAAAUGUUUGACCAUUUGUAAACUAGAUUCAGUGAGGAUAAAGGAAGCAUUUACUUUUCAUAAUUGAUAAGAUACAUGAUUGAGUAUUUUUGUCCUCAUUACUACGAUGUCUCCAAUCUCACCAUUAUGAAUCAAGAAAAAUUAGCUUACAUGAUAGAAAUUAUCAAGGGCCUUGUAAUAUCAGAAAGUUGCAAUCCAUCUUAGAAAAUAAUGGAUUAACCUCUACUAUUUUUAUCUAUUUAAACUAAUUCUCAAGGGGGCGUUUCGAUUGGUGGAUGAGAAAGAUAAGAUUGGUAGGAUAGAGUAGGAUUGGAGGAUGACUAAAUAAUCAACCUAACUUUGGAGUGAUAAACAAUCAUGCAAUUAAAUUAUGAGAGUUCAGGCUGAGUUAUCCAUCAUGCUCAAUCAUGCAAACCAAAAAUUUGUAAAUUGGAUUAUUUUAUCAAUCAUGCCUUGUCACUAAAACUAAACUCCUUUUAAAAGUAAAUGCCCCCUUGAAGAAUAAAGAUGAAGCAAUUCAAACUGAAAGGUGGCUAAGGAAGAUGGCUAAUUCUGAUAAUUAUUAUUAUACAUACAAAAUGGAAGGUGGCUAGCUAAGGAAGAUGAUAUUAGGUCACAUGAUUAAGCAAUCAACAGUAAUGGCUUGACCGGAACAAUUGUCAACAUAGCUGGUGAUUUUCAAUGUCAAUAAUAAUACAAUAUUUAUGAAAUUGCAAAAACAUUUAAUUGUCUGCUCUUUAAUGUAUAUAAAGGGUAAUGCACAACAAGAUCAAUGAAUAGAACGAGAGAACUAUAAAAUAAUUUCAAUAACAGACAACUGAUAUAAGGAAUCUGAUAUUUAGGAUGACUUCAUUAUUGGCUUGCAGGAGAAAUUCGUUUAGG